This is a long non-coding RNA of Propithecus coquereli (Coquerel's sifaka), 569 nucleotides long. RefSeq lists it as uncharacterized. NCBI's taxonomy places the organism in Eukaryota, Metazoa, Chordata, Mammalia, Primates, Indriidae. The transcript is spliced from 3 exons. The record is from RefSeq and is a predicted model, not a curated record.
GCAGGAUGAGGAUGCCCGUGGCUUAAGGAUGUGCAGGGGUAAACAGCUCCACUUUCCCUGUGUGACUCCAGACCACACCUCAGGCCUCCCCGCACCUGAAGCCACCUGUCAAGGUGUUUCCCCAAACACGAUGACCCUGUCCCUCAGGGGGGCGCUGGCAGGGAGUGUUGAAAUCACACACUUUUAACCCUACAAGUGAUCCUUAAAGACACCGGGUGGGAUAUUUUCCCAUGAGGCUGAGAGAGGACAAGGGACCCCGACCCCCUGAAGUCAGAGAUGGUCCUUCUCAGGCCACACUUGGAGCUCAGACAAAAGUCCCCUGGUCCAGCGCUCAUAUCGCCCGUCAUCCGCCAACCCUCGAGGCUGCAGCCCCCCUCUGUCUGCAACCCUCUGCUCUCCUAGGUUGGCGCGGUAGUGGCUUUUGCUCUGCUGUCAUGUCCUAUUUCUUCAAGAGACACCGGAAAUCGGCGUCCUCCGACCCAGAAGACAUUGAGUACCACAGGAGAGACGAGUGGAAGUCAAUGAGCAAGCAAGACCCAGCUCGUUUGCGCAGCGUUCCAAUGAAGUCU